Molecule: ribosomal RNA, 423 nt
Filed under: Triticum aestivum (bread wheat)
Lineage: Eukaryota; Viridiplantae; Streptophyta; Magnoliopsida; Poales; Poaceae
Description: partial small subunit ribosomal RNA
Source: RNAcentral
AUGGUGAAGAACAUCAAGCAGCUUUGGAGGAAUGGCUCGUCUGAUCGCAAGAAGAAGUUGGAUUCGUCAAACAUUUACCAUUUCCGUUUGCACCACGCCGUUGUGCCGCGGCAGGAAAACCUGGUUCAAACCCUGUACAGGUGGAUUACUUGUGGGGUUUUUGACAUUAAUAUUCGUCAGGUGCUAGGUUAUUCUGGAGGUAUUGCAUUUCUUUUUUGUUUGCUUUUUGUUGGUUUGCAUUUUUUUUGUGGUCGUCCUAUUUUAUUCUCACCACAAGGCCCAUUUCUAUAUUUUUGUCCACGCGCCCAAGUAUCUUCCUCGUGUGCCCUUCUUUUUUUGGUUUUUGUGUUGCAGAUCUUGGGCUGGACGAGCCUGAAUUUAGUUUGUUCGAGAGCCACUGUGAGACGCCAGAAAUUCAGGUAA